Molecule: long non-coding RNA, 461 nt
Organism: Symphalangus syndactylus (siamang)
Lineage: Eukaryota; Metazoa; Chordata; Mammalia; Primates; Hylobatidae
Source: RefSeq, a predicted model, not a curated record
UCCUUGGAGUGGAAUUAGUAAAAAGGAUAUGAAUAUUUUUAAGUCUCUUGCUAUGUCAGACUGAUUUCCAGAAGGCUUGUACCAAUUUUCUCUUCUACCGACAACUUUUCGCCACCUGGAAGUGGGGAGCCAGCUCCAGCACAGAGCUUUGUGGGAGGACAAAAGAGAUGAUGUGGAUAAAGUGCUCCGCAGAUCAUCAGGGGCGGCAAAGAACAAGUAAUUAAGAUGACAUUUGUGAGUACUAAUUUGGAUCACACUUAUGUGUAUGUGUUAUAAAGCUGCAAGCCAAAACAUGCAAACCCAGCCUUUCAUGGAGGAGAAAAUGAAAAAAUACUGAGUGAAAUGGGAGCAUGGGAAACUCGGAGGAGCUGAACAUCGGUUAGAAGACGGAGGCUGGAUAACUUUGUGGAAAGUUCUUCUGUGGAUCAUUUUUAUCUUGGCCAAGUUGCAGCUUCAGAACC